CACACCUGUAAAGUGCCUUGAGAUAACUCUGUUAUGAAUUGCCACUUUAAAUAAAAUUGAACUGAAUUGAACACAACUGAACUGAAUUGAAUAUGUCUGGCAGGAAUGGCAAUGACUUAUAGCAAAGCUUUGAUAUAUAAUAUAUUAGGAUUGUUUAUUUCAUUUUCAACUCAGCUUGCAGGUGUUUCCACUAGAGGUAAGAUGUAGAUGGUCGUAGGAGACACAGGUAAGUUAAACAUCAAUGAAAUGUCUCCUGCAAGUCUGAAUUUCACUUCCCAUUUGCUGGAUCCACAAUCUUCUACCCUGCCCAACUGAGUCCUGGUACUGCUGCUGGAUCCAGAACCCUCUGCAUGGCCCUGCCUGGAUCCUGCUCUGCACUGUUCUCUCUGUCCUUCCUGUCUCUCCUCUCUCGCUCCCAGGCGGUCGCAGCAGAAGGCCGUCCACACUGAGUCUGGUUCUGCUCGAGGUUUCUGCCUGUUAAAAGGAAGUUUUUCCUCGCCACUGUCGCCAAAUGCUUACUCAGUGCGGGGUUUUGCCCUGUGACAUGUUUCUCUCUGUUUCUCUUCUUUUUUCUUUUAUUUUUGAAUGUGUUGUAUACACACCUGUAAAAUGCCUUGAGAUAACUCUGUUAUGAAUUGGCACUUUAAAUAAAAUUGAAUUGAAUUACAUUGAACUGAAGUGAAAGUCUCCAGUGAAUCUUAGAAAAUUGAUUAUUUAUUUUAAUCACUCUUUUGAUUUUUUGUAUUCCUGAGGUAUUGAUGGUUACGCUUAGAGGUAAGUAAAAAAUGCUGAAAAAUGUCAGUGAAAUUCUCCUGCAAUUUUUCCAAUUAAUUUAAUAAUUUUUGUUGUUUUUUUGUUGUUUUGUUUUUGUAGUUUCCGUUUUUUCUUUUUUUUUUUUUUGUUUCCACAGAUGCUGACCUGAGAAGUGCAAGCCUUGGAUCUCCACAAGCACAAAGAUAUGGACCAGAUGACAGGGAUUACUGCAGGACCAUCUGGAGGGUGCAACCCCUGACCCCACCCUCUACACCUGUCCAGACAGAUCGGGCCCGACCAGCACAGGGGAUGCUGUUGUUUCCAUUCACUUCUUCUGUGCUGGUGGGUUUGGGAUGCUCCUCACAGAUCUGCACAUCGGAAGUUGCCACCAACUCACUGCAUCUCGACUCAGAAGUCAAGUCAGUUAAGAAAUUGAGUCAGUUCAUUCUAGGAAAAAAAAGAUAAAUAAUAAAUACUGUGAA
Long non-coding RNA from Scatophagus argus, 1235 nucleotides. RefSeq lists it as uncharacterized. The transcript has 2 exons. Lineage: Eukaryota; Metazoa; Chordata; Actinopteri; Scatophagidae. The record is from RefSeq and is a predicted model, not a curated record.